RNAcentral lists this ribosomal RNA (395 nucleotides) under uncultured bacterium. RNAcentral describes it as "partial 16S ribosomal RNA". It matches the Rfam family "Bacterial small subunit ribosomal RNA", at positions 523 to 918 of the family's 1533-position model. The record is from RNAcentral.
AUACGUAGGGUGCAAGCGUUAAUCGGAAUUACUGGGCGUAAAGCGUGCGCAGGCGGUUUUGUAAGAAAGAGGGGAAAUCCCCGGGCUCAACCCGGGAACUGCCUUUGUGACUGCAAGGCCAGAGUACGGCAGAGGGGGAUGGAAUUUCGCGUGUAGCAGUGAAAUGCGUAGAUAUGCGGAGGAACACCGAUGGCGAAGGCAAUCCCCUGGGCCUGUACUGACGCUCAUGCACGAAAGCGUGGGGAGCAAACAGGAUUAGAUACCCUGGUAGUCCACGCCCUAAACGAUGUCAACUGGUUGUUGGGUCUUCAUUGACUCAGUAACGAAGCUAACGCGUGAAGUUGACCGCCUGGGGAGUACGGCCGCAAGGUUGAAACUUAAAGGAAUUGACGGGG